This 72-nucleotide transfer RNA is filed under the name Boops boops. RNAcentral's name for it is "tRNA-Thr". It matches the Rfam family "tRNA". Rfam says of the family: Transfer RNA (tRNA) molecules are approximately 80 nucleotides in length. Their secondary structure includes four short double-helical elements and three loops (D, anti-codon, and T loops). Further hydrogen bonds mediate the characteristic L-shaped molecular structure. tRNAs have two regions of fundamental functional importance: the anti-codon, which is responsible for specific mRNA codon recognition, and the 3' end, to which the tRNAs corresponding amino acid is attached (by aminoacyl-tRNA synthetases). tRNAs cope with the degeneracy of the genetic code in two manners: having more than one tRNA (with a specific anti-codon) for a particular amino acid; and 'wobble' base-pairing, i.e. permitting non-standard base-pairing at the 3rd anti-codon position. Lineage: Eukaryota; Metazoa; Chordata; Actinopteri; Spariformes; Sparidae. The record is from RNAcentral.
GCACUAGUAGCUCAGGCACAGAGCGUCGGUUUUGUAAGCCGAAUGUCGGAAGUUAGAUUCUUCCCUACUGCU